GUGAAUCAUCAAAUUUUUGAACGCAAAUUGCACUCUCCUCGGAGAGUAUGCCUGUUUGAGGGUCAGCCUAUAAAAAAUCGACAUCGUUGCUGUUUCACGGUGACGUUCGUCGGAAAUUGGGUCAUCUUAAAUCUUUUUGGUUUAAGGGGCUUUAAAUUUUCUUUUUGUUCCAUUGACGGUUCUAAGGUCUAUUUCUUUACACGUUUUAGGUAUUGGUUUUUACUAGACUUUAACAAUAUAUUGGA
Molecule: unclassified non-coding RNA, 245 nt
Filed under: Glomus sp.
Lineage: Eukaryota; Fungi; Glomeromycota; Glomeromycetes; Glomerales; Glomeraceae
Description: partial contains 5.8S ribosomal RNA and internal transcribed spacer 2
Rfam family: 5.8S ribosomal RNA (bases 1-65)
Source: RNAcentral